Molecule: non-coding RNA, 208 nt
Organism: Pelobates cultripes (western spadefoot toad)
Lineage: Eukaryota; Metazoa; Chordata; Amphibia; Anura; Pelobatidae
Source: the annotation of a GenBank genome assembly
CAGUAUUGCACCGCAAUUAUGGCCAAAAAUUAAAAGCAGUGAAAAUACCAAAGUAUAUAUACAAUAUAAAAAUACCGCCAACAGAAAAAGUCCUAAUAAAAGUCCAGUGUGAAGCAAACGCGUUUCAGCCCUCAAUGGGGCCUUCCUCAGUGCUGUAUUCCUGGAGCAACUUCAGGGUUUAAAUAACCCCCUUGAUGUGUCUAAAUCU